Molecule: ribosomal RNA, 1565 nt
Filed under: Nycticeinops schlieffeni
Lineage: Eukaryota; Metazoa; Chordata; Mammalia; Chiroptera; Vespertilionidae
Description: 16S ribosomal RNA
Rfam family: Bacterial large subunit ribosomal RNA
Source: RNAcentral
GACAAGAGGUAGCUCAAAAUUUAAUUUUUUUCCUUAAAACUAUUUAAAACUUUAAAACAAAACAUUUAUAUCAAUUAAAGUAUAGGUGAUAGAAAUACUAUUUGACGCUAUAGAAAAAGUACCGUAAGGGAAACAUGUAAGAAGACUAUAAGUAUUAAAACAGCAAAGCUUAACACUUGUACCUUUUGCAUAAUGAACCAACUAGAGAAAACCUAGCAAAAAGAAUUAAAGUUAAAUAACCCGAAACCAGACGAGCUACCUACCAGCAGCUAACAGAGCAAACUCAUCUAUGUGGCAAAAUAGUGAAACGACUGAUAGGUAGAGGCGAUAAACCUACCGAGCCUGGUGAUAGCUGGUUGUCCAGAGUAGAAUUUUAGUUCUAAUUCAAGCUUGCCACGCAAGCAAACAAACUAUAAUGUAAGCUUGAAUAAUAAUCUAAAUGGGUACAGCCUUUUAGAUAUUGGAUACAACCCCUGUUAGAGAGUAAAUUUUUUUAUCAUACCACAAUAGUAGGCCUAAAAGCAGCCACCAAGUAAGAAAGCGUUCAAGCCCAACAGUACCAAAACUUAAUUUCACAGUAAAAUACAACUCCUAAUAUAAGACUGGACUAUUCUAUUCCCUAAUAGAAGAAAUAAUGUUGAUAUGAGUAACAAGAAACCACUUCUCCCUGCACAAAUGUAUACCCGAACAAAUAUAUCGCUGGUAGUUAUCAAAAUAAGUAUUAAUAAAUACUAGUUCCUUAACACUAAUUGUUGGACCAACACAGGAGUGCAAUACAAAGGAAAGAUUAAAAAAAGUAAAAGGAACUCGGCAAACAUAAACCUCGCCUGUUUACCAAAAACAUCACCUCUAGCAUAAAGAGUAUUAGAGGCACUGCCUGCCCGGUGACUCCAGUUUAACGGCCGCGGUAUCCUGACCGUGCAAAGGUAGCAUAAUCACUUGUUCUCUAAAUAAGGACUUGUAUGAAUGGCCCCACGAAGGUUUUGCUGUCUCUUACUUUCAAUCAGUGAAAUUGACAUUCCCGUGAAGAGGCGGGAAUAUAAAAAUAAGACGAGAAGACCCUAUGGAGCUUUAAUUAAUUAGUCCACAACCAUGCUUAAAUAAUCUAAAAGAGAUAAAUUUAUUUUAAUUGGACUAACAAUUUAGGUUGGGGUGACCUCGGAAUAAAACUUAACCUCCGAGAAAAAUUAUUAAGACCUACGAGUCAAAAUUUUAACUAAACACUGACCCGUCACUGACGAUCAACGAAAUAAGUUACCCUAGGGAUAACAGCGCAAUCCUAUUUAAGAGUCCAUAUCGACAAUUAGGGUUUACGACCUCGAUGUUGGAUCAGGACAUCCUAAUGGUGCAGCAGCUAUUAACGUGUUCGUUUGUUCAACGAUUAAAGUCCUACGUGAUCUGAGUUCAGACCGGAGUAAUCCAGGUCGGUUUCUAUCUAUUCACAAGUCUCUCCUAGUACGAAAGGAUCAGAGAGACAGGGCCCACUUUUAAUGAGCGCCUUAACCAAAUAGAUGAACUAAUCUUAAUCUCAUAACAACCCACUAACCACUCUAGAUAAAGGGUAA